This is an RNA transcript of Gadus macrocephalus (Pacific cod), 1008 nucleotides long. It is a transcript of the gene named mitogen-activated protein kinase kinase kinase 2-like, with no coding region annotated. The record is from RefSeq and is a predicted model, not a curated record. The transcript is spliced from 5 exons. Lineage: Eukaryota; Metazoa; Chordata; Actinopteri; Gadiformes; Gadidae.
UUGUGUUGGACUCUUCCAACACGGCUGCUGUUGUAAGAGGCGGCGGUGGCGACCUCGUCCAGUGUUGCCAGAUUGGGCAGAUUUCCUUCCCAAUCUGGCAACACUGGCUGGAUCGCAAAACCUGGCCCAAUCUGGCAACCCUGUACGAGGAGCUAACACGCUAACACGCUCUGUACGGAGGCUACAGCGGCAGGAGGUGUUGACAGCGGCGGCCUCAGAGCCUCUCCCUUCCCGCUCCCGUUCCCCGCCGCGGAUCGUUUCUAGCGGGAGCUCCUUCGACUCACGAGCCCCGAAGCGGCACGAGUGGUUUCCCGCGUGGGGAUAUUUCCGUUGACGUUACCACACGUUAGCUUUAGCAUUAGCUUUAGCAUUAGCAUCCCCGGCCCAGGACUCUGGCGGCGCACGGAGUGAAGUUCGCAGCGGACCCCAAACUUCUGCCUCCCCGCCUGGCCGCUGUCUAUCCGCGGGGUCCGGGGCUCCUGUCGCCGGCCCUGUGGAUGAGAAGAGAGCCGCCCGCCCGGGACCCCUUUGAUGGGAGAAACCUGCUUCUUAACCUCCUGGGUCCACAGAAGAAGAUUCACCAUGAUGGACGGUGUCAGAGCUAAUGUCUGACCGUGUGUGGUUGCUUGUUUCCCCUGACAACCUGUCCUGGAUCAGAUUGAAUGCCCCCCCCCAGCGGUCAGAUGAGCAGGAUGCGCUGAACUCGAUCAUGCAGGACCUGGCGGAGCUUCACCGCUCAACCAGACGCCCGGUCCUGUCCCUGUCCGACCUGGGGAAGCCCAAAGCCUCCUCGCCCAAGAACCAGAACGACGUCAGAGUGAAGUUCGAGUUCAAAGGCGAGAGAAGGUAAAGGUUCGGACGGCACUAUGACCUGACCUCCUGACCCAAUGACAUCACCUCCUGACCCUAUGACCUCCUGACCCUAUGACAUCACCCUAUGACCUCCUGACCUAUGACCUCCCGACCCUAUGACCUCCUGACCCUAUGACCUCCUGACUAGGGAUCGAC